Molecule: transfer RNA, 83 nt
Filed under: Schistocephalus solidus
Lineage: Eukaryota; Metazoa; Platyhelminthes; Cestoda; Diphyllobothriidea; Diphyllobothriidae
Rfam family: tRNA
About the family: Transfer RNA (tRNA) molecules are approximately 80 nucleotides in length. Their secondary structure includes four short double-helical elements and three loops (D, anti-codon, and T loops).
Source: Rfam by way of RNAcentral
GGCCUCUUAGCUCAGUUGGAUAGCGCGUUGGCUGUACUAAAACCCUCUCCUUUGUGGUGUGGGUUCGAAUCCCAUCGAGGCCG